This 469-nucleotide ribosomal RNA is filed under the name uncultured bacterium. Its description in RNAcentral is "partial 16S ribosomal RNA". It matches the Rfam family "Bacterial small subunit ribosomal RNA", at positions 28 to 507 of the family's 1533-position model. The record is from RNAcentral.
GACGAACGCUGGCGGCGUGCUUAACACAUGCAAGUCGAACGGUGAAGCGAGUGCUUGCACUCGUGGAUCAGUGGCGAACGGGUGAGUAACACGUGAGUUACCUGCCCAUCACUCUGGGAUAAGCACUGGAAACGGUGUCUAAUACUGGAUACGACCAACCCUUGCAUGGGGUGUUGGUGGAAAGAUUUAUCGGUGAUGGAUGGACUCGCGGCCUAUCAGCUUGUUGGCGGGGUAAUGGCCCACCAAGGCGACGACGGGUAGCCGGCCUGAGAGGGUGACCGGCCACACUGGGACUGAGACACGGCCCAGACUCCUACGGGAGGCAGCAGUGGGGAAUAUUGCACAAUGGGCGAAAGCCUGAUGCAGCGACGCCGCGUGAGGGAUGACGGCCUUCGGGUUGUAAACCUCUUUCAGCAGGGAAGAAGCGAAAGUGACGGUACCUGCAGAAGAAGCACCGGCUAACUACGUG